ACUCCUACGGGAGGCAGCAGUGGGGAAUAUUGCACAAUGGGCGAAAGCCUGAUGCAGCGACGCCGCGUGAGGGAUGAAGGCCUUCGGGUCGUAAACCUCUUUCAGCAGGGAAGAAGCGCAAGUGACGGUACCUGCAGAAGAAGCACCGGCUAACUACGUGCCAGCAGCCGCGGUAAUACGUAGGGUGCGAGCGUUGUCCGGAAUUAUUGGGCGUAAAGAGCUCGUAGGCGGCUUGUCACGUCGGAUGUGAAAGCCCGGGGCUUAACCCCGGGUCUGCAUUCGAUACGGGCAGGCUAGAGUGUGGUAGGGGAGAUCGGAAUUCCUGGUGUAGCGGUGAAAUGCGCAGAUAUCAGGAGGAACACCGGUGGCGAAGGCGGAUCUCUGGGCCAUUACUGACGCUGAGGAGCGAAAGCGUGGGGAGCGAACAGGAUUAGAUACCCUGGUAGUCCACGCCGUAAACGGUGGGAACUAGGUGUUGGCGACAUUCCACGUCGUCGGUGCCGCAGCUAACGCAUUAAGUUCCCCGCCUGGGGAGUACGGCCGCAAGGCUAAAACUCAAAGGAAUUGACGGGGGCCCGCACAAGCAGCGGAGCAUGUGGCUUAAUUCGACGCAACGCGAAGAACCUUACCAAGGCUUGACAUAUGCCGGAAACGGCCAGAGAUGGUCGCCCCUUGUGGUCGUAUACAGGUGGUGCAUGGUUGUCGUCAGCUCGUGUCGUGAGAUGUUGGGUUAAGUCCCGCAACGAGCGCAACCCUUGUUCUGUGUUGCCAGCUGGUGAUGGGGACUCACAGGAGACUGCCGGGGUUAACUCGGA
This 815-nucleotide ribosomal RNA is filed under the name uncultured Actinomycetes bacterium. RNAcentral describes it as "bacterial SSU rRNA". It matches the Rfam family "Bacterial small subunit ribosomal RNA", at positions 335 to 1167 of the family's 1533-position model. Lineage: Bacteria; Bacillati; Actinomycetota; Actinomycetes. The record is from RNAcentral.